AAAAACUUGGUUUUGAUUUUUAUUUAGGUGAUUAAAUGAAAACACAUGGUAGUUUUGCUUUUAUGUAAAAGUUAUUACAUAUAGGAUAAUUUUAAAUAAAUAAUCACUUAUGUACUAGAAAAUAUUAGAUAAAUAUCUAUAAUGUUUGGGUUUCUUACAACACCAGUGUAGAAAAUUAAAAAUAAGAGAAAUCUUGAUUUAGAAAUUUAAUAGAUAAGCAGCAAAAAUCGUGCCAGCAGCUGCGGUUAUACGGGGGCUUAAACUUAAAUAUUUUACGGCUUAAAAGGCAGUUAUAGGAAAAACAGUUAAUGUUAAACUAAUAAAAAGGUAAAAUUUUAAUAUUAGUCUUUACUUUAUAUUAACCACUUCUAGAAGCUGCAAAAUUAUAUACAAAAACUGGGAUUUGAUACCCCACUAUUUUAUAAAGUAAAUUUUUAAUGCCAGAGAACUACGAGCUAGAAGCUUAAAACUCAAAAAACUUGGCGGUGUUCUAAACCCAUUUAGGGGAGCCUGUUCUAUAAUUGAUAAUCCGCACUUUACCUCACUUUAUUUUGUUAAUCAGUUUGUAUACCGCCGUCAUCAGCUUAUUCUUUAGGAAAUAAAAAUAAGCAAAUAAACCUUCAGUUUUAAUGUCAGGUCAUGGUACAGCCUACAAUAAAGAAGAAAUGGGCUACAAUUUAAAUUAAAAUUACGAAUUUAUGUCUUUAUAAACAUAUUGAAGUAGGACUUGAUAGUAAUUACCUGUUUAGAAUGCAGUGAUGAAAUAGGAUCUGGAACGUGUACAUAUCGCCCGUCGCUCUCGUUGGAAAAGGAGAUAAGUCGUAACACAGUAGAGGUAGCGGAAGCUGUUUCUAAUU
Molecule: non-coding RNA, 857 nt
Filed under: Leptochiton nexus
Lineage: Eukaryota; Metazoa; Mollusca; Polyplacophora; Lepidopleurida; Lepidopleuridae
Source: RNAcentral